Non-coding RNA from Achaetomium macrosporum, 93 nucleotides. The record is from the annotation of a GenBank genome assembly. NCBI's taxonomy places the organism in Eukaryota, Fungi, Ascomycota, Sordariomycetes, Sordariales, Chaetomiaceae.
GCGGGUUUAGCUCAGUUGGGAGAGCGUCAGACUGAAGCCAAACUUCAGGAAAAGUCAAUCUGAAGGUCGUGUGUUCGAUCCACACAAACCGCA